AAGGGAGACCUAAUUCCGGUAGGAGACGAAAAAAAAGUAGUCCCUACCAAGAAUCAAUCCCAAAAGGUCGAAGCGAGGCAAGAUUGGCUUUCAAACUAGGUUCUGGGUUCAAACAAGACCUGAAUCAGGAACAAGGGCUAUUAGCUCAGGUGGUUAGAGCGCACCCCUGAUAAGGGCGAGGUCCCUGGUUCGAGUCCAGGAUGGCCCACCUGCACAGGUGGCAAAAACAAAGAAGCGAGGAAUCAGCACCUUAUCUUACUCAUAUAGUAAGAGAGAAUGCUGGCUCUGGGUAAAGAGUCCAGAGGAACCUUGAAAACUGCAUAGAGCUAGGUGAAAAAGCCAAAAAAGAAGACCGCAA
This 358-nucleotide transfer RNA is filed under the name uncultured Microcystis sp. RNAcentral's name for it is "partial 16S-23S ribosomal RNA intergenic spacer". The stretch from base 135 to 208 matches the Rfam family "tRNA". Lineage: Bacteria; Bacillati; Cyanobacteriota; Cyanophyceae; Chroococcales; Microcystaceae. The record is from RNAcentral.